GAUCCUGGCUCAGGAUGAACGCUAGCUACAGGCUUAACACAUGCAAGUCGAGGGGCAGCAUGGUCUUAGCUUGCUAAGGCUGAUGGCGACCGGCGCACGGGUGAGUAACACGUAUCCAACCUGCCGUCUACUCUUGGCCAGCCUUCUGAAAGGAAGAUUAAUACAAGAUGGCAUCAUGAGUUCACAUGUUCACAUGAUUAAAGGUAUUCCGGUAGACGAUGGGG
RNAcentral lists this ribosomal RNA (224 nucleotides) under uncultured bacterium. Its description in RNAcentral is "partial 16S ribosomal RNA". It matches the Rfam family "Bacterial small subunit ribosomal RNA", at positions 15 to 230 of the family's 1533-position model. The record is from RNAcentral.